This 234-nucleotide ribosomal RNA is filed under the name uncultured bacterium. Its description in RNAcentral is "partial 16S ribosomal RNA". It matches the Rfam family "Bacterial small subunit ribosomal RNA", at positions 29 to 288 of the family's 1533-position model. The record is from RNAcentral.
AGCGAACGCUGGCGGCAGGCUUAACACAUGCGAAGUCGAGCGGGCGUAGCAAUACGUCAGCGGCAGACGGGUGAGUAACGCGUGGGAACGUACCUUUUGGUUCGGAACAACCCAGGGAAACUUGUGCUAAUACCGGAUAAGCCCUUACGGGGAAAGAUUUAUCGCCAAAGGAUCGGCCCGCGUCUGAUUAGCCAGUUGGUGGGGUAACGCUCACCAAGGCGACGAUCAGUAGCU